GAUGAACGCUAGCGACAGGCUUAACACAUGCAAGUCGAGGGGCACCACACGUAGCAAUACCGGGUGGCGACCGGCGCACGGGUGAGUAACGCGUAUGCAACUUGCCUAUCAGAGGGGGAUAACCCGGCGAAAGUCAGACUAAUACCGCAUGAAGCAGGGGCCCCGCAUGGGGAUAUUUGCUAAAGAUUCAUCGCUGAUAGAUAGGCAUGCGUUCCAUUAGGUUGUUGGCGGGGUAACGGCCCACCAAGCCAUCAACGGAUAGGGGUUCUGAGAGGAAGGUCCCCCACAUUGGAACUGAGACACAGUCCAAACUCCUACGGGAGGCAGCAGUGAGGAAUAUUGGUCAAUGGACGAGAGUCUGAACCAGCCAAGUAGCGUGAAGGAUGACUGCCCUAUGGGUUGUAAACUUCUUUUAUACGGGAAUAAAGUUAGGCACGUGUGCCUUUUUGUAUGUACCGUAUGAAUAACGAUCGGCUAACUCCGUGCCAGCAGCCGCGGUAAUACGGAGGAUCCGAGCGUUAUCCGGAUUUAUUGGGUUUAAAGGGAGCGUAGGCGGAUGCUUAAGUCAGUUGUGAAAGUUUGCGGCUCAACCGUAAAAUUGCAGUUGAUACUGGGUGUCUUGAGUACAGUAGAGGCAGGCGGAAUUCGUGGUGUAUCGGUGAGAUGCUUAGAUAUCACGAAGAACUCCGAUUGCGAUGGCAGCUUGCUGGACUGUAACUGACGCUGAUGCUCGAAAGUGUGGGUAUCAAACAGGAUUCGAUACCUUGGUACUCCACACAGUAAACGAUGAAUACUCGCUGUCUGCGAUAUACAGUAAGCGGCCAAGCGAAAGCGUUAUGUAUUCCACCUGGGGAGUACGCCGGCAACGGUGAAACUCAAAGGAAUUGACGGGGGCCCGCACACGCGGAGGCACAUGUGUUUUAUUUUGAUGAUACGCGAGGAACCUUACCCUCGCUUAAAUUGCAAAUGAAUGUUCUGGCCCCAGAUCAGCCGCAAGGCAUUUGUGAAGGUGGUGCAUGGUUGUCGUCAGCUCGUGCCGUGAGGUGUCGGUUUAAGUGCCAUAACGAGCGCAACCCUUCUCGAUAGUUACCAUCAGGUUAUGCUGGGGACUCUGUCGAGACUGCCGUCGUAAGAUGUGAGGAAGGUGGGGAUGACGUCAAAUCAUCACGCCCCUUACGUCCGGGGCUACACACGUGUUACAAUGGGGGGUACAGAAGGCAGCUACAUGGCGAGGUGAUGCUAAUCCCUAAAACCUCUUUCAGUUUGGGUUGGAGUUUGCAACACUGAAUCCAAGAAGGUGGAUUUGGUUGUAAUUGCGCAUCAGGCACGGCGCGGUGAAUACGUUCCCGGGCCU
RNAcentral lists this ribosomal RNA (1354 nucleotides) under uncultured bacterium. RNAcentral describes it as "bacterial SSU rRNA". It matches the Rfam family "Bacterial small subunit ribosomal RNA", at positions 28 to 1381 of the family's 1533-position model. The record is from RNAcentral.